CGAGAACAAAUGCCACACCGAUAUUCUCAGCCCACGGGGCAGCAACGCCUCCUCGCGCAACUGGUGACGUAUAUACAGUGACAUUGAUAAGGAUUCUGUAAUGCUUUGUUCUCAUUCGUUUCAUCCGAGAAACAGAUAAAGGAAGCGAGAAAGAGCGAGCGAGGGACGGGAGGAGGAGAGGAGAGACAGGGAGCAGGAAAGUCAGGAACCGACACAAUAGGAGGGUCGAUUCAGGGCUCACAAAAUAGAAGCAGCACUCCAGUGCGAUCUACAGGAAAAAAAAACUCGGGAACAUCGUCUUCCUCGUGAACAUGAAUAGCUGGGAGAGGAACCUCGGAGGAAAUGGUCGAAAUUGAACUUCGAAAUCGAGUCUGAUGCCCAACGUCGCGGAGAUCGCGGUCUCACAAAAUAUAUGUUUUUCACUCGA
Long non-coding RNA from Venturia canescens, 427 nucleotides. RefSeq lists it as uncharacterized. The record is from RefSeq and is a predicted model, not a curated record. The transcript has 3 exons. Lineage: Eukaryota; Metazoa; Arthropoda; Insecta; Hymenoptera; Ichneumonidae.